UACUACAUAGGAGUGGAAGUACCAGAGGAUGAUCCUGAUGCACAGAAGCCUCAUUUUGGACCAAACCUCUGGCCUUCUGAGGAAAUGUGGCGAAAGUAGUUGCAAGGAUCAUUGCUCUAGCACUUGAUCUGGAGGCUGAUUUUUUUGACAUGCCAGAAAUACUCGGCAAGCCUAUUCCGAUCUUGCGCUUGUUGCACUAUGAAGGUAGAUUUUAUUUCAAUGAACUACAAAAUAAAGCCGACAAUUCUUUC
Eucalyptus grandis is the source of this 251-nucleotide long non-coding RNA. RefSeq lists it as uncharacterized. The transcript has 2 exons. Lineage: Eukaryota; Viridiplantae; Streptophyta; Magnoliopsida; Myrtales; Myrtaceae. The record is from RefSeq and is a predicted model, not a curated record.